This 581-nucleotide long non-coding RNA is filed under the name Glycine max (soybean). RNAcentral's name for it is "long non-coding RNA (GMAX_LNC002576)". Lineage: Eukaryota; Viridiplantae; Streptophyta; Magnoliopsida; Fabales; Fabaceae. The record is from RNAcentral.
UACUGCUGCUAAACACAACCAAAACCAUGAAAAACUCCAUCAACCUUACAUAGCUGGGUACACAAGUGAUGCUGCCAACAAAGCCAAUCAAUACAUAGCAGGGUAUAGGACCAAAACUCAUGAUUCCAAUACACCUUACAUAGCUGGGUACACAACAACCAGUGCUUCCCACAAAGCCAAUCAACCUAAUUACCUUGCAGGGUAUAGGACCAAAACCGAUGAUUCCAAUACACCCUACAUAGCUGGGUAUACAACAACUAAUGCCCAUGUGGCAAAUAAUCAACCUAAUUACAUUGCAGGGUAUAGGACUAGCACCACCCAAGAAUCCAAUACACCUUCUUACAUUGCAGGGUAUAGGACUAGCACCACCCAAGAAUCCAAUACACCUUCUUACAUUGCAGGGUAUAGGACUAGCACCACCCAAGAAUCCAAUACACCUUACAUUGCAGGGUAUAGGACUAGCACCACCCAAGAAUCCAAUACACCUUACAUUGCAGGGUAUAGGACUAGCACCACCCAAGAAUCCAAUACACCUUACAUUGCAGGGUAUAGGACUAGAACCACCCAUGAUCCUAAUGCAC